AUGACCUCAUUUGGUGUCGCACCGGCAUCUGGGCUGAGAGAUGCUGGUGGUAGUAGUGAAGUGGAUAAGUUGCCGGAUGAAAUUAGUAAUAUGAGAAUAAGUGACGAAAAGGAAGUAGAGGCAACAAUCAUCAAUGGGAAUGGAACAGAAGCUGGUCAUAUUAUAGUCACGACUAUCGGAGGCAGAGAUGGCCAAAGGAAGCAGACAAUAAGUUACAUGGCUGAACGUGUCAUUGGUCAAGGAUCAUUUGGUGUUGUGUUCCAGGCAAAAUGUUUGGAGACAAGUGAGACAGUAGCUAUCAAGAAGGUUCUUCAGGAUAAGAGAUACAAGAACCGUGAGUUGCAAAUGAUGCGUCUACUUGACCAUCCAAAUGUCGUCUCUCUCAAACACUGCUUCUUCUCAACCACUGAAAAGGAUGAACUCUUUCUGAAUCUUGUGCUUGAGUAUGUUCCUGAGACAGUCCACCGUGUCAUCAGACACUACAACAAGAUGAACCAACGCAUGCCACUGAUAUAUGUGAAGCUAUAUACUUAUCAGAUUUGUAGGGCACUGGCUUAUAUCCAUCGCACCGUUGGUGUUUGCCACAGGGACAUAAAACCACAGAAUCUUCUGGUUAACCCACACACUCAUCAGCUGAAGAUCUGUGAUUUCGGAAGUGCAAAAGUUCUGGUGAAAGGCGAACCCAAUAUAUCAUACAUCUGCUCUAGGUACUAUAGGGCACCGGAGCUUAUUUUUGGUGCUACUGAGUACACGACAGCAAUCGACAUCUGGUCUGCUGGAUGUGUUCUUGCUGAACUUCUGACAGGACAGCCUCUGUUUCCCGGUGAAAGUGGAGUUGAUCAACUUGUUGAGAUUAUCAAGAUUCUGGGCACACCUACAAGAGAAGAAAUCAAAUGUAUGAACCCGAACUACACAGAAUUCAAGUUUCCCCAAAUCAAGGCCCAUCCAUGGCAUAAGGUGUUCCACAAGCGAAUGCCACCUGAAGCAGUGGACCUGGUUUCCAGGCUUCUUCAGUACUCACCGCACCUUCGGUCCUCAGCUCUGGAUGCUCUGAUCCAUCCAUUCUUCGAUGAGCUCCAUGACCCAAACACCCGCCUCCCCAACGGCCGGUUCCUUCCUCCCCUCUUCAACUUCAAGCCCCACGAGCUGAAGGGGCUUCCGAUGGAGAUCGCGGCGAAGCUGGUCCCGGAGCACGCGAGGAGCCAAUGCCCGUUCCUAGGGCUGUAG
RNAcentral lists this ribosomal RNA (1227 nucleotides) under Triticum aestivum (bread wheat). Its description in RNAcentral is "partial small subunit ribosomal RNA". Lineage: Eukaryota; Viridiplantae; Streptophyta; Magnoliopsida; Poales; Poaceae. The record is from RNAcentral.